UUUUGAAUUACCCCUCAAUUUGAUGUUGCAUCUCAUGUUAUUAAUUAAGUCUGCAUAACCGCCAUUGCAAUACGUUUAAUUUAAGUGACGAUGUCAUCAUUCUACUUCCGGGUAAAAUAGAGCUUUAGCUGUAUUCAUUCUAAUUAGAUUUUACUCAUUUUAACCUGCUGUUGAGCCGACUACAAGCUCUUUCUAAGCAUCUGAUCGCAAAGAAAUAUUACAUUUACACCGGAUUUUCUUGAGUAAUGGAAUGGUAAAGUUAACUCCCAUGUGUUAUUUCUUUAGGAUGGAGCAGAGCCCCAACUUUCCACUGAGUUUCCUGAGACCGCCAUGUCCACGAACCAAGACAAAGACCCAACGCGCUCCCAAAGCAUUUCCCAGUUCAUCCUUCAGUUUGUCAAUCAGUCAUCAAAAGAAAGUGGGAAGAAGAGGAAGUACAAGCAGUUGAGAGGCAUCUGACUUCCUUCAUAACCUCCCUUACUGUUCCAAGGAAACAAGACUGCGAGAAUUGUCUAUAACUUGAAAACGAAGCACUACAAUAUAGAGAUUGCGCUGCCAUAAAAUUUUAUGUGAAAAAUCGAAUCAGAGCCCUUAAAAAGAAACAUUAAGGCAAGGUUUUUUCUGAGAUGCUUUGGGCUAUGUGCACAGUGCCCCCAUGUUAUUUCAAAUUAGCGACGGUUUCCUAUCUUUUACAUUUACGAUUUGCAGAGUCUCACACAAAUGAAGAGAUGGCUCAAGAUUUUGUAAAGGACAGCGCAUAAAAGUUAGAAUGUGACUGGAGCAGGUUAAAAAAUGAUGUAAGAUGGAACGACUUCACUGGAGGAAACCUCCAGGUUCAUAACAGUGGGUGAUUUUGUCUUAAGGCUAACCACUAACACAAAAUAAUUUAAAAUUCAAUUAAAACUAGUGCAAAGUUUUGAACGAGUCUGCGCAAAACGGGAUCAAGUAGUUAGUUUUAAAUUUUAUUGAGUUGUUUACACAUUAUACUGUCAUUAUUGAACACUAGCCUUAAGAUCGUGAGAUAAAAGCUUCUCCCUUACGACCGGGGCAAGAUUCACAUCCAACAAGCUUGUAACAAGUUGCAGUGACCAUCAGUAACUCGCUGUCCUUUACAAAUCUUGACCCAUCUCUUGAUUUGUGUGGGACCCUGCUAAUCGUGUAAGUAAAAGACGGGGGAGAAGGACGGUGUCGCUUUUUUCCAGCUGGAAAUCAUGUGGGGACAGUGUGCAGCCCAUUGAAACUUGGCUCAAUAAAUUUAGAUUUUGUUGCUGGAAAUAUAAGAAAUUUUGUGAUUUUAUGCUUAAAUUCCUUAACUUGUAAUGCAUUUUUUCUCAUGUCCGUAAUCUACAGCAUACGUUUGAAAUUGAUAUCUCUACAUUUAAGUUGAUUACCUUUUUUUACUGCAGUGUCUCGCCUUAUACAGUCCCGAUCAAAAGUUUAAGACCUUUUGCAAAAUGGUAGAAAACAAAGAAAAUCACAUUUUGCAUGGUUAGAACUUAACAAGGUUCCAAGUAGAACUUCAAUAUGCAACAACAAGAAAUGGGAGUGAGACAAAAAAGAGUAAACCUUUAAUUUUGUUCCAUAACCCUCAGUCAUAGAAUUCCUUAAAAGAUCCUUUCUUGCCGUUUCCCACCUCAGCAGUGAUGGCACGCAGCAAGAGACUGUGCUUAUGCAGCACAACCUGACCACGUUUAAACAUUGCUGUCAGGACGUCAUGAGUGUGAGUACCUGACUGAAAAUGACUUUGAAUGAACAUUUGCACAGAUUUGGUCUUUUAAAGGCAUGUGGUCCUAAACUUUUUAGCAGCUGCAAAACGGUCUUAAUUUAAUUGUUACUUCAUUUGUUGUUUUCAAUAAGAGUUAUUCUCAUUUUGUUUUGUUUGUGUCACUCAAAUUUCUUCUUGUGGAAGUUCUGAUUGGUAUCUUGAUCAGAUUCAACCAUGCAAAAUGUUGCCAUCUUUUAAUUAGAGUUAAACUUUUGAUUGGGCCUGUAUAGCAUAAAUCUCUUCUUCCCACCUUUUUUUCAAUGUGUUAAAGCAGCGUUGUUGGGACUACUCCAUUAAUGUUAUCCAACUACUGAUAAUAGAAAGGUCCUUCUACAAGUAGUCUUGUUACUUUGAUUACGUUAUUUCAAAAGGAAGGAAAGACUUCAUUUGGGACUAGGAUCGUCCAGUGUCUUGACGUGCAGCCAAUUGGAUCCUCAGUUUGGUGACAUUUUUUGGGGUCUUUCACUUGACUUUUUUGUUCCAAAAGUCAUCUGAGGACUAAUUACUACUUUGGGUUCGCCCUUUUAAGUGUUUAAUAAGUUCAAUGUGAAGCGUUUCACAGGUAAAUAACUCUCAACCACAGUAUUCUAUAGAGGUACGCCAAUCAGAUCAGUCACUGAUCAUAGCCUGUUCAGCAGAUUUGUAAAAUAUGUUGAUCAACGUGGAUUUCACAUACAUUCUUUCAAUCUAUAUUCUGGUGAAAAUUACGCAGCAUUGCACUGCUCUAAACCAUAAAUGUAUUUUUUAUUGUAAUUAGUGGUUACACAACAGCUCUGGAUGUACUGCUCUAAUUGCCGACUGUAUCCCUCCCACCUGGCGGCUCUACUUGUGACAGCAGCGGUGUGUAGUGUAACUAAUCAAAACAACCAUGGCGCGAGAGCUAGUCUGCUAUGCUUAAGACAAAAGCAUAAUGAAGGUUCAUGACCAUAAAAUAGCCAUAUAUGGACAUAUAACUCAGACAUUAAUUAGUAAUAAUAACGGACUAUAAAAAUACUAUACAAUAAACUAUAAAUAAAGAUAAAUGAUUGAAGCACCUCUAUAAUGUAUACAACAAUUUCUUGAUAGAAGUUUUCAGCUGUCAAUUGUAAUCAGUUGUUACUUGGUUACAAUGGGAUGUUUUGUUUGUAAACAAAUAUAAUUAUCCCCAACUGUUCAAAAGUUAUGAUGUGAUUCUUUCAAUUCAAAUCAAAAUUGAAUAGUGAUUACCUUCUUUGUCUAUGACUAAGUAACAUUUUUGAGAGAGCAUUUUAAGAAG
This 3020-nucleotide long non-coding RNA is filed under the name Neogobius melanostomus (round goby). Its description in RNAcentral is "lncRNA (ENSNMLG00000001966.1)". The record is from RNAcentral. Lineage: Eukaryota; Metazoa; Chordata; Actinopteri; Gobiiformes; Gobiidae.